This is a long non-coding RNA of Pongo pygmaeus (Bornean orangutan), 420 nucleotides long. RefSeq lists it as uncharacterized. The record is from RefSeq and is a predicted model, not a curated record. The transcript is spliced from 3 exons. Lineage: Eukaryota; Metazoa; Chordata; Mammalia; Primates; Hominidae.
AUCACACAACAGUUUUGUAACCAUGUUCUCUCAGAAAGUUCCAUAGUCCACCCGUCUGGAACAAAAUUAAGUGAUUUCCAGAAAGGAUAUGGGUCAAUGACAGUGUGGGAAGAAACAAGAAAAAUCAAUAACCUACAUUUUAAUGUGUAAUGACAACAUGUUGAACAACAGACUUCCCAGGCAUGGUUCAGGAGAGAAUGCGAGAACAUGUAAAAUACAUCAUAUUUUAUAUUAUGUUGAUGCAAUUUUAGAACCAGAAGGAAAUUUAGAGAUGAUGAGAACUUAACACUGGAUUUCAUAGGUGAGAAAUGGAAACCUUGACUGGGGAACUUUCUUGGGUCACAAAACUUGUUAUCCACUUUCAGCUUGGUCUUCUUUCAAUCUUCAUUUGCCUCCUAAAUAAAAGAUCUGCUGGCUCAG